Molecule: small RNA, 29 nt
Filed under: Bombyx mori (domestic silkworm)
Lineage: Eukaryota; Metazoa; Arthropoda; Insecta; Lepidoptera; Bombycidae
Description: ovarian small RNA-24520
Source: RNAcentral
UCAAAUUUUUCAACUAACUGCCCUCACAC